GAGCGGCGGACGGGUGAGUAACGCGUGGGUAACCUGCCUCAUACAGGGGGAUAACAGUUAGAAAUGGCUGCUAAUACCGCAUAAGACCACAGUACUGCAUGGUACAGUGGUAAAAACUCCGGUGGUAUAAGAUGGACCCGCGUUGGAUUAGCUAGUUGGUGGGGUAACGGCCCACCAAGGCGACGAUCCAUAGCCGACCUGAGAGGGUGACCGGCCACAUUGGGACUGAGACACGGCCCAAACUCCUACGGGAGGCAGCAGUGGGGAAUAUUGCACAAUGGGCGAAAGCCUGAUGCAGCGACGCCGCGUGAGCGAAGAAGUAUUUCGGUAUGUAAAGCUCUAUCAGCAGGGAAGAUAAUGACGGUACCUGACUAAGAAGCACCGGCUAAAUACGUGCCAGCAGCCGCGGUAAUACGUAUGGUGCAAGCGUUAUCCGGAUUUACUGGGUGUAAAGGGUGCGUAGGCGGCUUUGCAAGUCAGAUGUGAAAUCUAUGGGCUCAACCCAUAAACUGCAUUUGAAACUGUAGAGCUUGAGUGAAGUAGAGGCAGGCGGAAUUCCCCGUGUAGCGGUGAAAUGCGUAGAGAUGGGGAGGAAUACCAGUGGCGAAGGCGGCCUGCUGGGCUUUAACUGACGCUGAGGCACGAAAGCGUGGGUAGCAAACAGGAUUAGAUACCCUGGUAGUCCACGCUGUAAACGAUGAUUACUAGGUGUGGGGGGUCUGACCCCUUCCGUGCCGGAGUUAACACAAUAAGUAAUCCACCUGGGGAGUACGACCGCAAGGUUGAAACUCAAAGGAAUUGACGGGGGCCCGCACAAGCAGUGGAGUAUGUGGUUUAAUUCGACGCAACGCGAAGAACCUUACCAAGUCUUGACAUCCCUUGACAGACAUAGAAAUAUGUUUUCUCUUCGGAGCAAGGAGACAGGUGGUGCAUGGUUGUCGUCAGCUCGUGUCGUGAGAUGUUGGGUUAAGUCCCGCAACGAGCGCAACCCUUAUGGUCAGUUACUACGCAAGAGGACUCUGGCCAGACUGCCGUUGACAAAACGGAGGAAGGUGGGGAUGACGUCAAAUCAUCAUGCCCUUUAUGACUUGGGCUACACACGUACUACAAUGGCGUUAAACAAAGAGAAGCAAGACCGCGAGGUGGAGCAAAACUCAGAAACAACGUCCCAGUUCGGACUGCAGGCUGCAACUCGCCUGCACGAAGUCGGAAUUGCUAGUAAUCGUGGAUCAGCAUGCCACGGUGAAUACGUUCCCGGGCCUUGCACUCACCGCCCGUCA
Molecule: ribosomal RNA, 1280 nt
Filed under: uncultured bacterium
Lineage: Bacteria
Description: bacterial SSU rRNA
Rfam family: Bacterial small subunit ribosomal RNA
Source: RNAcentral